Molecule: ribosomal RNA, 485 nt
Filed under: uncultured bacterium
Lineage: Bacteria
Description: bacterial SSU rRNA
Rfam family: Bacterial small subunit ribosomal RNA
Source: RNAcentral
GAUGAACGCUAGCGACAGGCCUAACACAUGCAAGUCGAGGGGCAGCACAAAGUAGCAAUACUUGGUGGCGACCGGCGCACGGGUGAGUAACACGUAUGCAACCUACCUGUAAGCGGGGAAUAACCCGGAGAAAUUCGGACUAACACCGCAUAAUACUGAAUUACUGCGUGGUUUUUCAGUUAAAUAUUUAUAGCUUACAGAUGGGCAUGCGUAUGAUUAGAUAGUUGGUAGGGUAACGGCCUACCAAGUCAACGAUCAUUAGGGGUUCUGAGAGGAAGGUCCCCCACACUGGUACUGAGACACGGACCAGACUCCUACGGGAGGCAGCAGUGAGGAAUAUUGGUCAAUGGGCGAGAGCCUGAACCAGCCAAGUCGCGUGAAGGAAGAAGGUUCUAUGGAUUGUAAACUUCUUUUGUAAGGGAAUAAAAAAGAGUACGUGUACUCUAUUGUAUGUACUUUACGAAUAAGGAUCGGCUAACUCCGUG